UAUCCUUAAACUUUUGUGCGUGUAUAUUGGUGUAUCCAUAAAAAUAGCUAUUAAGGCGACCAGGGAAAAAAAUCAUAAUUUUGGUCAAAAAUAGCUAUAUACUAAGCAUUUUUUAUUUGUUUUACUUUAUUUAAAGCCUAUUGUAUAUUAUCCCGAAGUUUCAUUCCAUAAAAAACAGAAAUAAGGAAAUUCGAUAUUUCGUGUACCAUCAGCAUCCAAAUUUUCAAGUAUACAGAAAUUUAACUUUCCGGAAUAUAACGGAAAUUUUCGGGUAUCUCCGUGGUACCAUCUCCGUGCAAUUAUGCAGUAUGGCGUUCAUCUCUUACGGAAAGAGAAUGGUAACUUGUUGCUGCUUGGGACAUUAAAGUUAAGUCAGCAACCGUCUACCAGACUGCAAGAUUCAUCUCUUCCAAAGGAUGUCGUACCUUUCCAGAUACACUGUGUUUUGUGUGGAUAAGAAAUGCAGAGUGGUACCACCAAUCACCUAAGCCACCAUUCCCCUAACAGACAAUAGGCUCAAGGGGACAGUUCCUGCAAUUUACAGAAAAGCUCUCAAUUGUAGCCCUACGAACUUAAGAUACUGCCGAUGGUGAAGCUUGGAUGCACCGGGCCGGUUUUCCAGGCGUGUGGAAUCUCCAGCUGAACUGGGGCCGGGAAUUAUAUUUAUAAGACUCCUUAGCAGCAUGAGUGCCAGCCAGUCAUUGCUGUUCUUGCAUUGCUGAGGAGGACAGUCCUGCCAACAUAACAGUUUGUUCAAUAACAGGAGACAAACAGAAACACAGAGGUGCUAUACAUUCUGAUGGAAAAACAAAAGCAUCUCCCAUCAUUUUGGCGUGGCUCAGAUCAAGAGGAGAAUUUUAAGAAAGGUGAUGGUUGGGCACACGCAAGAAGACAUAGAUCACAGGUGUCUAGCCAUAUGAGUGGGAGUGUCACACUCUGCCAAACUUACUUCAGAUAGGAGUGUCACACUCUGCCAAACUUACUUCAUCAGACGAGCAGAAAGCUUCUCAAGAUCCCGCACUGCACACUAAGACAUAGUCUUUGACUACAACAAGGUGAUGAAAGUACAGAGGUCCAAUUGAAAUCAAUUCUGUGCUGCUGUCAUUUCUUCAUUCUGGAAGUCGAUGGACAUGAUUUAUUAUGGCAUCAAGUGUGUAGUUUGCCGACUAUCAGCAGUCUUGUUCACCAGCUGUGCAACUUGAGCUGGUAGCUUUAUUGCUUGAAGCCACUGCAUAAGAGGGGGAAGGUGCAGGCUCAUCAAAAAGUCUCAAAAGUUGAAACUAGGAAAAGAAGUUUAUCAAGAGUGUGAAUCUAUUUUGAAAACAAUCGUUACAAUGAUUUGGUUUCCUUUGAAACUUCAUACAUACUAUGAAUUGAGAUGCUUAAAUAAAAAACCGCUAUUCAAAUAUCAGGA
Long non-coding RNA from Mya arenaria, 1414 nucleotides. RefSeq lists it as uncharacterized. NCBI's taxonomy places the organism in Eukaryota, Metazoa, Mollusca, Bivalvia, Myida, Myidae. The transcript has 7 exons. The record is from RefSeq and is a predicted model, not a curated record.